AAGGCUUUAGCUUAAGUAAAGUGUCUGCUUUGCAUGCAGAUGAUGUGGGAUAGUACCCCGCCAGUCUUA
RNAcentral lists this transfer RNA (69 nucleotides) under Pennahia pawak (Pawak croaker). RNAcentral's name for it is "tRNA-Ala". It matches the Rfam family "tRNA". From Rfam's summary of the family: Transfer RNA (tRNA) molecules are approximately 80 nucleotides in length. Their secondary structure includes four short double-helical elements and three loops (D, anti-codon, and T loops). Further hydrogen bonds mediate the characteristic L-shaped molecular structure. tRNAs have two regions of fundamental functional importance: the anti-codon, which is responsible for specific mRNA codon recognition, and the 3' end, to which the tRNAs corresponding amino acid is attached (by aminoacyl-tRNA synthetases). tRNAs cope with the degeneracy of the genetic code in two manners: having more than one tRNA (with a specific anti-codon) for a particular amino acid; and 'wobble' base-pairing, i.e. permitting non-standard base-pairing at the 3rd anti-codon position. Lineage: Eukaryota; Metazoa; Chordata; Actinopteri; Sciaenidae. The record is from RNAcentral.